GACGAACGCUGGCGGCGUGCUUAACACAUGCAAGUCGAACGGAAAGGCCCUGCUUUUGUGGGGCGCUCGAGUGGCGAACGGGUGAGUAACACGCGUGUAACCUGCCCUUGACUUUGGGAUAACUUCAGGAAACUGGGGCUAAUACCGGAUAGGAGCUCUUGCUGCACGGUGGGGGUUGGAAAGUUUCGGCGGUUGGGGCUGGACUCGCUGGCUAUCCGCUUGUUGGUGGGGUAGUGGCUUACCAAGGCUUUGACGGGUAGCCGGCCUGGGAGGGUGACCGGCCACAUGAGGCCUGAGAUACGGCCCAGACUCCUACGGUACGCAACGGUGGGGAGUAUUACACAGUAGGCGGAAGCCAGAUGCGACAACGCCGCGUGCGGGAAGACGGGCUUCGGGUUGUAAACCGCUUUCGCCUGUGACGAGGCGUGAGUGACGGUACCGGAUAAAGAAGCACCGGCUAACUACGUG
This 468-nucleotide ribosomal RNA is filed under the name uncultured bacterium. RNAcentral describes it as "partial 16S ribosomal RNA". It matches the Rfam family "Bacterial small subunit ribosomal RNA", at positions 28 to 507 of the family's 1533-position model. The record is from RNAcentral.